This 1489-nucleotide long non-coding RNA is filed under the name Mytilus galloprovincialis (Mediterranean mussel). Lineage: Eukaryota; Metazoa; Mollusca; Bivalvia; Mytilida; Mytilidae. The record is from RNAcentral.
GUGUAUAUGCCCAGACCUCUGUAAUUCAGAUGUAAACAAGAGGCUGUCACAACGACAGCAAACCGGAUUUAUUUACAUUUAUUUGUGUCCUGGCAAUAUCACAAGAACCAUUACUGAUGAAUGGUGAAAGUGAAAAUCAUCAAUAUCAAAUUUGACCUCCAUUUUGUCAUCAGUAUCAACAUUUUGAAAUAAUAAUAUUUGAAAAGCUUAGAUUGAAUGGUUCAUGAGUAAAUGCAACAAACGCCAUUUUACAAUCUUUCAAGAACCAUAACUCCUGAACAGUAAAAGUCAAAAUCGUCAUUAUGGAACUUGACCUCUAUUUUGUCAUCAGUAACAACAUAUUAAAAUUUCAAAAGCUUUGGUUGAAUGGUUCAUGAGAAAAUGCACGGACACGACGGGAAACACCAUUUUUCAAUCUUUCAAGAACCAUAACUCCUGAACGGUAAAAGUCAAAAUCGUCAUUAUUGAACUUGACCUCCAUUUUGUCAUCAGUAACAGCAUAUUAAAAUUUUGGAAGCUUUGGUAGAACAGUUCAUGCAUAAAUGCACGGACACGACUGGAAACUCCAUUUUUCAAUCUUUCAAGAACCAUAACUCCUGAACGGUAAAAGUCAAAAUCGUCAUUAUUGAACUUGACCUCCAUUCUGUCAUCAGUAACAACAUAUUAAAAAUUUGGGAAACUUUGGUAGAACAGUUCAUGAGUAAUGAUGCACGGACACGACUGAAAACUCCAUUUUCAAUCUUUCAAGAACCAUAACUCCUGAACGGUAAAAGUCAAAAUCGCCAUUAUUUAACUUGACCUCCAUAUAGUUGUCCGUAAUAACAUAUUAAAAUUUUAAAAGCUUUGGUUGAACGGUUCAUGAGUUAAUGCACGGACAACAUUUGAUUGCCGCCUUUCAAGAACCAUAACUCCUGAACGGUAAAAGUCAAAAUCGCCAUUAUUGAACUUGACCUUCGUAUAGUUGUCAGUAAUAACAUAUUAAAAUUUUAAAAGCUUUGGUUGAACGGUUCAUGAGUUAAUGCACGGACAACAUUUGAUUGCCGCCCGCCCGACCGCCGACUGCCAGACCGCCCGGCCGCCCGGCCGCCCGCCGUACAUCCCCAAAUCAAUAACCGACAUUUUUGUCACAAAAAUCCGGUUAAUAAAAGAAGAAUGUGUCCAUGGAACACAGAUCCACUUGUAAACAGAUGUUGAAAUCAGCACAGUGUACAAGUUUUAUAGCAUUUCGAUGAGGCGACUUCAAGUUGGUUUCCAAAAAUCAAUUUUGGGACGCAGGGACGGAAAAGUGUUAAACCGAAUGCCCUCUUUGCAUAGCAGCAAGGACAUAAAUAGACUAUUAGAAAUGGUAAAUUAGGUGUUAUGUAUUGAUUACGAAAAAACAGCCAAUGUAAAUAUAGCAUUUUGCAAUUAAUUAUGCAAUUACUGUGAAAUAUCAAACAUUAGUAUAAUUAGGUGUUGCAAUUAUGAAUUAAAUGUACAUGUCUUCUAG